RNAcentral lists this ribosomal RNA (254 nucleotides) under uncultured bacterium. RNAcentral describes it as "partial 16S ribosomal RNA". It matches the Rfam family "Bacterial small subunit ribosomal RNA", at positions 526 to 779 of the family's 1533-position model. The record is from RNAcentral.
CGUAGGUCCCGAGCGUUGUCCGGAUUUAUUGGGCGUAAAGCGAGCGCAGGCGGUUUAAUAAGUCUGAAGUUAAAGGCAGUGGCUUAACCAUUGUUCGCUUUGGAAACUGUUAAACUUGAGUGCAGAAGGGGAGAGUGGAAUUCCAUGUGUAGCGGUGAAAUGCGUAGAUAUAUGGAGGAACACCGGUGGCGAAAGCGGCUCUCUGGUCUGUAACUGACGCUGAGGCUCGAAAGCGUGGGGAGCGAAACAGGAUU